UUUAUUGGAGAGUUUGAUCCUGGCUCAGGACGAACGCUGGCGGCGUGCCUAAUACAUGCAAGUCGAGCGGAUCUCUUCGGAGAUUAGCGGCGGACGGGUGAGUAACACGUGGGCAACCUGCCUGUAAGACUGGGAUAA
This 138-nucleotide ribosomal RNA is filed under the name Bacillus mesophilus. RNAcentral describes it as "partial 16S ribosomal RNA". It matches the Rfam family "Bacterial small subunit ribosomal RNA", at positions 1 to 146 of the family's 1533-position model. The record is from RNAcentral. Lineage: Bacteria; Bacillati; Bacillota; Bacilli; Caryophanales; Bacillaceae.